Molecule: ribosomal RNA, 389 nt
Filed under: uncultured eukaryote
Lineage: Eukaryota
Description: SSU rRNA
Rfam family: Eukaryotic small subunit ribosomal RNA
Source: RNAcentral
AGCUCCAGUAGCGUAUAUUAAAGUUGUUGCAGUUAAAAAGCUCGUAGUUGGAUUUCUGGUGUGGGAUGCCUGGCCCGCCGCGAUACGCGUGUGAGUGCUGGCGCGUCCCCGCCAUCCUUUCAGAGACCGUUUCUGCCCUUUAUUGGGUUGGAGACGUGGAUCUGGAUCUUUUACUUUGAAAAAAUUAGAGUGUUCAAGGCAGGCUCGCGCUGUGAAUACAUUAGCAUGGAAUAAUAACAUAGGACUCUGGUUCUAUUUUGUUGGUUUCUAGGACUGAAGUAAUGAUUGAUAGGGAUAGUUGGGGGUGCUCGUAUUUAGCGGCCAGAGGUGAAAUUCUUGGAUUCGCUAAAGACGGACUUAUGCGAAAGCAUUCACCAAGGAUGUCUUCU